AUUACUUAAUAUACACAUGCAAGUAUCCGCCCCCCUGUGAAAACGCCCUACCCCCCCCCCCGGAACAAGGAGCUGGUAUCAGGCACGAAAAUCUGCCCAAAACACCUAGCUAUGCCACGCCCACAAGGGAACUCAGCAGUGAUUAACAUUGAGCAUUAGCGUAAGCUUGACUCAGUUAAAGUAAGAUGAGCCGGCUAAUCUGGUGCCAGCCGCCGCGGUUAUACCACGUGGCUCUAACUGACUUUUCUCGGCGUAAAGCGUGAUUAAAGCCCCCUUUCCCACUAGAGCCAAACUAAAACUAAGCCGUGACACGCCUGUUCAUCAAGAAGCCCAAAACGAAAGUUACUCUAACGCAAUCAACUUGAACUCACGACAGUUAGGAAACAAACUGGGAUUAGAUACCCCACUAUGCCUAACCGUAAACUUUUACUUACACCCAUAUCGCCCGGGAACUACGAGCAAAGCUUAAAACCCAAAGGACUUGACGGUACCCCACAUCCCCCUAGAGGAGCCUGUCCUAUAAUCGAUAACCCACGUUUAACCUCACCGUUUCUAGUUAAUCAGCCUGUAUACCUCCGUCGUCAGCUUACCACGUGAGCGCCAAUUAGUGAGCCCAAUGUUACUUCACCUGUACGUCAGGUCAAGGUGCAGCAAAUGAAAUGGAAAGAGAUGGGCUACACUUUCUACAUUAGAAGAAACGAAAAACUACCCAUGAAACUUAGUUAGAAGGCGGAUUUAGCAGUAAAAAGGAAUCAGUAUGUCUAUUUUAACCCGGCACUGGGGUGUGUACACACCGCCCGUCACCCUCUUCAAAACCAUUAAUAUAGUUUUUAACAACAAUUUUCCAUAUAGAAGAGGCAAGUCGUAACAUGGUAAGUAUACCGGAAGGUGUACUUGGACA
Molecule: non-coding RNA, 901 nt
Filed under: Leptophryne borbonica (Java tree toad)
Lineage: Eukaryota; Metazoa; Chordata; Amphibia; Anura; Bufonidae
Description: partial 12S rRNA
Rfam family: Bacterial small subunit ribosomal RNA
Source: RNAcentral